Molecule: non-coding RNA, 147 nt
Filed under: Theropithecus gelada (gelada)
Lineage: Eukaryota; Metazoa; Chordata; Mammalia; Primates; Cercopithecidae
Source: Rfam by way of RNAcentral
GCUGGGUGUGGUGUGGGCACCUGUAAUCCCAGCUACUUGGGAGGCUGAGGCAGGAGAAUUGCUUGAACCUGGGAGGCAGAGGGUGCAGUGAGCCGAGAUCGCGCCACUGCACUGUAGCCUGGGUGACAGAGCGAGACUUUGUCUCUA